This 638-nucleotide long non-coding RNA is filed under the name Mytilus galloprovincialis (Mediterranean mussel). The record is from RNAcentral. Lineage: Eukaryota; Metazoa; Mollusca; Bivalvia; Mytilida; Mytilidae.
GGGUUAUUAAGUGCAAAAAUCAAACUUUUUAGAACAUGGCGUUGUCGCAUAUCAAAUGAAAGCUCAUCUACCCUGUGUUAUAUAUAUCAUACUUCCGAUCUCAAAAAUGUAGGCGGGUGAGGUCAUUAAGUGUAAAAAGCGAAAAGUUUCAAAAGGUAUGCUUGUCGUAUAUCAAACGAAAGGUCGUACAAAGAACAUUACGAAAACAUCACUUUUACAGGAAAGACCUUUCAAUUGUUUUUCAAACAAUUGAGAUACUAGUUUUUUUUCUUCUUUUUUUUUCUUCCAGCAUUUUUUUGGCAAGCCCUCCUACCGCUUCUAUUGCAGUUAUCAAUACCAAAUUUGAACCAUCGAUAGACCUCAUCAUGAAGUUGUACCAGAUGAACUUUUGUAGGAUUUCAUCAUCCCCUUGAGAAGUAAUCUCCCUUAUAUUGAUUAUUUUCAACAUGCCCCCCCCUCGUUGUUUUCAAAGAUAUCAUGACUUUAUUUGGACAAUAGGUAGAUCUAAUCAUGAUGUAUUACCAGAUGAGGCUGCAAAGGAUCUCAUCAUCUCCUAUAAGAGUUAUAUACCCUUGAAACAAUUUCUUUCCUUUGCAUUUUUCUCAAAAAGUAUUAGAGAUAGAAUCGAUUUGAAAACG